Molecule: non-coding RNA, 318 nt
Organism: Cinara cedri
Lineage: Eukaryota; Metazoa; Arthropoda; Insecta; Hemiptera; Aphididae
Source: the annotation of a GenBank genome assembly
UGAACGAAAUGAACUCAAACUCGGGAAUCAGAGUUGUUUUAUAGGCAUAUUGAUGUGACACAAGUCUGGUUGAAUUUCUAUGUGAAUUUCACGAUUUAUUGUUGCGGGAGGAUCAUGUAUUAUUUAACUUUGAACGCCCCUAUACAGACCACUCAAACGAAGCCAGAUGGAUGAAAUGUUGUGUACGCAUGACGAUAUAAGUGUCGAGAACGUGCCUUUUAGGGUUUUCAACUUUUAACCCAAACUCCUGACAUUUGUAUACUAAAAUUUCACUUUUUUCUGAGAAUAGUACAGUUCUAUAGUAGGAAAAAAAAUAUA